Molecule: ribosomal RNA, 427 nt
Filed under: uncultured prokaryote
Description: bacterial SSU rRNA
Rfam family: Bacterial small subunit ribosomal RNA
Source: RNAcentral
UGGGGAAUUUUGGACAAUGGGCGCAAGCCUGAUCCAGCCAUGCCGCGUGAGUGAAGAAGGCCUUCGGGUUGUAAAGCUCUUUCGGCGGGGAAGAAAUGGCGCUUUCUAAUACAGAGCGUUGAUGACGGUACCCGCAUAAGAAGCACCGGCUAACUACGUGCCAGCAGCCGCGGUAAUACGUAGGGUGCGAGCGUUAAUCGGAAUUACUGGGCGUAAAGCGUGCGCAGGCGGUUGUGUAAGUCAGAUGUGAAAUCCCCGGGCUCAACCUGGGAACUGCAUUUGAGACUGCACGGCUAGAGUGUGACAGAGGGGGGUAGAAUUCCACGUGUAGCAGUGAAAUGCGUAGAGAUGUGGAGGAAUACCGAUGGCGAAGGCAGCCCCCUGGGUUACUACUGACGCUCAUGCACGAAAGCGUGGGGAGCAAACA